RNAcentral lists this ribosomal RNA (497 nucleotides) under uncultured bacterium. RNAcentral's name for it is "partial 16S ribosomal RNA". It matches the Rfam family "Bacterial small subunit ribosomal RNA", at positions 28 to 507 of the family's 1533-position model. The record is from RNAcentral.
GAUGAACGCUGGCGGCGUGCCUAAUACAUGCAAGUCGAGCGAACGGACGAGAAGCUUGCUUCUCUGAUGUUAGCGGCGGACGGGUGAGUAACACGUGGAUAACCUACCUAUAAGACUGGGAUAACUUCGGGAAACCGGAGCUAAUACCGGAUAAUAUUUUGAACCGCAUGGUUCAAAAGUGAAAGACGGUCUUGCUGUCACUUAUAGAUGGAUCCGCGCUGCAUUAGCUAGUUGGUAAGGUAACGGCUUACCAAGGCAACGAUGCAUAGCCGACCUGAGAGGGUGAUCGGCCACACUGGAACUGAGACACGGUCCAGACUCCUACGGGAGGCAGCAGUAGGGAAUCUUCCGCAAUGGGCGAAAGCCUGAAGGGGCAACGCCGCGUGAGUGAUGAAGGUCUUCGGAUCGUAAAACUCUGUUAUUAGGGAAGAACAUAUGUGUAAGUAACUGUGCACAUCUUGACGGUACCUAAUCAGAAAGCCACGGCUAACUACGUG